Passer domesticus (house sparrow) is the source of this 1342-nucleotide long non-coding RNA. RefSeq lists it as uncharacterized. The record is from RefSeq and is a predicted model, not a curated record. The transcript is spliced from 3 exons. NCBI's taxonomy places the organism in Eukaryota, Metazoa, Chordata, Aves, Passeriformes, Passeridae.
GUCCCUGUCCCUGUCGGGAGAUGCCGAGUUCGGCGUUGCGGAAUAAGGCGCGAGCAGGGAGCUGCGCCUGCAGGAGCCCGUCACGCUUAGCAGGCGAAUGCAGCCUUUGAAAGCACUGAGGGAGGUGCCCGUAUAGAUGGUGUAAGGAUUGCAGCUGUCUGUGAGGUGUUCCCGUGAGGCGCCCGCUGUUGUCACCGGCUCUGCGCGGAGAGGGUCGUAGGGCCGGAGCAGCACCGGGCUGAGCCCUCAGCACCACGCUGCGGGAGAGGGCUCUGGAAAGCAAAAGCAGGCAGAAAAUACUCCAGGAGGGAGCAGAGAGCUUCCUUUCCAUUUCAUUGGAAAGGAAGAAAGCACGAGAUGAAGUUCUCAAGAAAUACAGGUCAUCAUCGUAAAGAAGAGGAAGCAGAGGGAAACUUAGUAGUGGCAGUCAAAACCAUGGAGGUCUCAGGCAAGGACGACGAAAAGCUGAACCACCAAGUUCUCAGUGGAUUUGAAGAUAACAAGUGUUUUAUUUGCAACAAGAAGGAUUGCCAUUACCUAUUAGCAAAAAAUGGUAAACGUGGCAAAUAUUUGAACACCUUGCCUAUGGAGGUUUUAUUACUGCCAUAAAUUAGCUGUCCUGUUGAAGCAAUCUUUAGCCUGAUUUUAUAUUGCUCUAUGACUCCCUAUUGGUUGAUAAUGAACAUGAAUCAUAAACCCCACAGAAACUUCUUAUUUUGUAUGCAGUUCACAUUCAUGAGACACUGAUACAAACAUCUGGCACAAGGAACAAGGCAUUGGAAAAUGAGGCCUAAGAGAGUCGUAUAUUGUGAAGUAUGUUUCACACACUUCCAUGAAACCCUCAAAUAUGUAAUCCCUAAACACAUUUAUCAUCAGCAGUUCCUACUGUUUUAGAGAUUGCAAAAGACAGAGCUGACUAAUUGCCUUUGUAAUAUCCACAGAUAUCAGUAACAGAAGAAGGGAUAAAAACUGACAUCUUCAUUUCCACCACCUCUCUUCACUAUCACCUAGUUUACCUAAUUUCUCAUAUACUCAUCCUCUAGAUUUUUUUUUUUAAUCUGUUGUGUUUGGUAAAUGUAAAAGCAAUAGGUAAAGGGUGUGUUCACUGUGCAGCCUCAAAAGGCAGAGAACUAUGAGUUUUACAGGUGAACUGUCUUUGGGUGAAGGAGGAGCUACUCAGUGCUAGGAAAAGCUGGGAGCAUAACAGAGCUUUCCCUUUGGGCUCAGCUGCAAGGCUCUUAGGCUCCUCCAGUCUGCCAGCAUGGAUUAUUAGGAGACAGAAGCCAGUGUAAAGAAGAAGGAAAUUAGGAUUUAGUUUCUUUUAUGAAUAAAAAGAGUGAUA